Molecule: non-coding RNA, 732 nt
Filed under: Tubifex tubifex (sludge worm)
Lineage: Eukaryota; Metazoa; Annelida; Clitellata; Tubificida; Naididae
Source: RNAcentral
UCAGUUUGAUUCUGGCUGAACCAUUGACUGUAAUGAUCCAACUACAUGUAACCUGUAAAAUACUUACACCACAGUAGGAAAAUCUAUAAAUUUUGCAACAAAAGAUAUGGAAAUCAUUCACCGGGCCGGCAAAAUCCGUGCCAGCCGCCGCGGUUAGACGGUAGGCCCAAGUCAAUGACUGAGGUCGAGUGAUAUGAUGAACAGAUAAUUUAAAAUUGCGCAGGGGUCAAAUCCUAAAACAACGUGCACCAAAAUUAUCAAACCUACAAAUUCACCAAAUUAUGGCCUAAAACAAGGAUUAGAUACCCUUCUAUCCCAUAACCUAAAUAUACACCGGAUAAUACAAAUUAAAUUUAAAACCCAAAGAACUUGGCGGUGUCUCAUACAAUCAGGGGAACCUGUCCCUUAAAUCGAUAAUCCACGAAUGUCUGAGUCUAGCUAGAACAACCAGCCUGUGUACUGCCGUCGGCAGCAUACCUUAAAAAGCAAGUAUGCGAUAAUAAUUCUAAGGACGUCAGGUCAAAGUGCAGCCAAUGCUAGUCUGGAGAUGGGUUACAUCUUGUACUAAAUCUGAAAUCUGUUUAAAAACAGAAAGAAAGCUGGACUUGAUUGUAAUGACUUAAACAGUAGUGUCAUGAACAAGUUCCUGAGACAUGUACACAUCGCCCGUCACUCUCGUCGAAAGAUGAGAUAAGUCGUAACAAAGUAGGCUUAAUGGAAAUUGAGCCUGUU